Molecule: transfer RNA, 77 nt
Filed under: Gordonia phage Forza
Lineage: Duplodnaviria; Heunggongvirae; Uroviricota; Caudoviricetes
Also listed under: 3 other names
Description: tRNA-His
Rfam family: tRNA
About the family: Transfer RNA (tRNA) molecules are approximately 80 nucleotides in length.
Source: RNAcentral
GUGGCCGAAGCCGAAGUGGUCGAGGUUCUUGGUUGUGAUCCAAGAGGAAGCGAGUUCGAGUCUCGUCGGUCACCCCA